GAACGCUGAAGAGAGGAGCUUGCUCUUCUUGGAUGAGUUGCGAACGGGUGAGUAACGCGUAGGUAACCUGCCUGGUAGCGGGGGAUAACUAUUGGAAACGAUAGCUAAUACCGCAUAAAAUUGAUUAUUGCAUGAUAAUUGAUUGAAAGAUGCAAUUGCAUCACUACCAGAUGGACCUGCGUUGUAUUAGCUAGUUGGUGAGGUAACGGCUCACCAAGGCGACGAUACAUAGCCGACCUGAGAGGGUGAUCGGCCACACUGGGACUGAGACACGGCCCAGACUCCUACGGGAGGCAGCAGUAGGGAAUCUUCGGCAAUGGACGAAAGUCUGACCGAGCAACGCCGCGUGAGUGAAGAAGGUUUUCGGAUCGUAAAGCUCUGUUGUAAGUCAAGAAACGUGUGUAGAAUGGAAAGUUCACACAGUGACGGUAGCUUACCAGAAAGGGACGGCUAACUACGUGCCAGCAGCCGCGGUAAUACGUAGGUCCCGAGCGUUGUCCGGAUUUAUUGGGCGUAAAGGGAGCGCAGGCGGUCAGGAAAGUCUGGAGUAAAAGGCUAUGGCUCAACCAUAGUGUGCUCUGGAAACUGUCUGACUUGAGUGCAGAAGGGGAGAGUGGAAUUCCAUGUGUAGCGGUGAAAUGCGUAGAUAUAUGGAGGAACACCAGUGGCGAAAGCGGCUCUCUGGUCUGUCACUGACGCUGAGGCUCGAAAGCGUGGGUAGCGAACAGGAUUAGAUACCCUGGUAGUCCACGCCGUAAACGAUGAGUGCUAGGUGUUAGGCCCUUUCCGGGGCUUAGUGCC
Molecule: ribosomal RNA, 801 nt
Filed under: uncultured Streptococcus sp.
Lineage: Bacteria; Bacillati; Bacillota; Bacilli; Lactobacillales; Streptococcaceae
Description: bacterial SSU rRNA
Rfam family: Bacterial small subunit ribosomal RNA
Source: RNAcentral